UGUAGGAGCAAGGCCAGGCAGCGGGAGUCUGUGGCUUAGGCAGAGGAAUGACCUGUGAGCCGCUGGGGGUGCAGGGACGGACAGGGACGGGAUUCAGAAGGAAAAGAAGGUUGGGCCACACCAUGGAAAGAGCCAGGUCUGGCAGGGAGACACCACCCCUCCCAGCUCCAUCCUCCAACUGUCUUUGAGUCUCUGUCUUGAAUUUCCCCAAAUCCUCCCUUCUCACCACCUCCACUGGCCCUAUUCCACCCCUCCCAGCUCUCACUCCUCCCUGCCUUGCCCAUAACAAGUCAAAAAGCUCAAAGCUGCUGGCCAUAUCCAUGUAGCUCUUUUCCCUGCACCUUGUCCCCUCAUCUGUCUUAACUUGAACUCCGGGUGGCUCUGUAGGGGCAGUGGUGGGUGACACACAGGAUCUCCCUGCUUUAGAGCUGGAGAAACUGAGGCCCAGAGAAGUCAUUCCUACUUCUAUUUCAGACCUUGGGCCAUCACCAUCUCCACGAAGCCCUCCCUGCACUCUCUACUACCCUGUCAGGCCUGGUUUUGGGUUAUUUGCUCUCAGAGGACCAAGGAUCUUUGCUGUAGAGAACUGGCCUCAGGUUGCCACUGUCUAUUCCUCCACAUGGAUUAGUUUAUGUCUUUCUAUCUCACUUGGCAUGCAGGAGACACUGGAGAGACACUGAGCGACUGAAUGACAGUUUGGGUUCUUGUGGCAAAUAACAAGAAGAGGUGUUAGUAGAACGUGGAUGGGGCACCACAAGGUCCCCACUUGGGGUAUAAAAAGUCUAGGAAGCUUCUAUAAGGGGUGAUGACCUGGUUGGAGCUUGAAACCUGAGUUUCUGGUAUCAGCUGGAACAUGCAGAAUGGUACCUGGCAGGAGGUGAGCCCCAGCUCCUGUCACCUUCAGGAAUCUGGGUUCAGGGUCCAGUGGUCUAGGUAGCUGGGAAUGUGGGCCUGUGAAGGCCUCUGCCCCAGCUCCAUAACCCCAGGUGACCUUGAGGCAGGCAGGGUGGCAUGCCCUUCCUCUGCUCACUCCCCUUUGUCCAGUGGUAGCCCAGGGGCAUCUGACUCACCUCCUCUUUGCCCCACUUCCCCACAGUGAGAUUUAUUUUUAAGUCACCCCAAAAUCCCUCCAGCCUUCCUGAUUCAGCUCCCCUGUCCUCUGUGAUUCUCUUGUGAAGGUCAACUCAGGGUCCCUGGAGGACUGCAGCCCAUGCACCUCACUGGCUCAGCUCACCCACCCCACCCUGUGGCUCUCCACUCUCCCCCACCAAGUGGCAGAGGCCUCUGUUUUGGGGCUGGAGGUCUUCCCACCAGGAGUCUAGAACAGGCUUAUUUAUGUAGAAUAGAAAAAUUACGUAUUUCAUCCCAUUUUUUUCCUGGUCUUUGACAAAACAAUUCUAUUUGCAUAAGACUAAUAAUUUAGUGACCUCCUUAAAGGCCAUUUUUCUCUUGAUUCUGGCCCAUACAGAGGCCAUGCUCUGUUAGAGUGGGAAAUUAAUUUUUUUUUUGGUCUCAGAUUUACAGCUACAAGCACAGCACUCCAUGAAAAUUCUUUCCAGUGAGUAGUCUGGGCUUAAUAUUCCCCAUACUUAAAAAUUAUGAAGGAGACCUUCCAAACAUUGUGGUUUCUCUGUGUACCGCAUAUCCCUUCUCAUUAUCUGGACCACAGGUCAAUUUCAAAUUUCCCCAUGCAAGCAAAUGACCUAAGGACAGAGAACUCCAAGGUGCUCAAACAACAAGGAAACCAAAGAGAGCAGGCCAGGGCCUCUGUGGUAGUGAGGACCUGACCAGAGAGCCAAGUAAGAUGAGAGCCCCCUGCUACCCAACUCUGAGGGCAAAGCUGCCAGGGAGGGGGAGGGAAGGGGACGUCCUGUCUCUGAGCCUCCACUUUGCCCCAGGAUCACAGAGGUCAGUGUGAGACCUGUGCUGUGCAUCUAAACAGGCUGCCACCAGGUCCCAUGUGGGAGAAGGUGGAUGUCAUCUUAGCAAAAGAGUUUUCUCUUGGACCCCACAGGAGUGGGUCCUGUCCUGGAAGAGGAUGGUCUGGUGGCUGGUCCAGCAGAGCUGCCAGGGUGAGAGGCCAGCACAGAUGUGCACCUAAAUGCAGCCUUGCUCAUGGUGGUGCUGGUGCCCAGAGGCGAACUUGUGCAUUUCUGCUUGGGUGGGCCCUUGGGAGAUGGCACUGAAAGGAGGAGGGGCCUAGGUAGCUCCAAGAUCAUGAGUGCUGUUUGUCCUGUGUAACUUGGUCACCAUGGAAAUACUCUGGUGGUGGGGGCCACAGAGAGUCAGGCCCAAGCUUGCCUCAUAGGUCUGUCUGGGGCUCGAGGGUCCCUCCUCUUAGAAAGGAGAGGCUCAUUACCCACACACAGGCUGCUCCCAGGUUCUCUGCUCCCAGGUUCCACUGAGGACACUGCCAAGGGCAUAGUCAUGCAAGUUGGUCUUUCUGGGGUGGUGUUGGCCCCUGAGUUGAAGUUGGGGAUUUCUGCUUGGGUGGCCUAUGUGUCAAGCACUAAAUGGAGGGGCAUCGGUGACUCCCUGCUCAUGUUUGCUGCUUAUCUUUUGUCCCUUGGUCACUGGAGGUGCUCUGGUUAGAGGUGCUGCAGGUUUUCAUGCUCCAGGCUUGCUGUCUGGUGCUUGGAGUCCCUCUAAUUUUGGAGCAGAUGCUCAGUGCUCCAAGGGCCAGUAUCACAUCUGGAGGGAGGUCUGUAGUCAUAGAAGCCAGUGAUUCCACAGCAUGGACUUUCAAGUGCAGGUGGCCUUUUUUGGGGGUGGUGUUGGUCCCCUGCAUUGAUCUGAGGGGUUUCUGCUUGGGAUUACUUUGGAGAUGGCACUAAAAUUAGAAGCACCCAUAGCUAGGAUGUCAUAGCAGGUCCAAAGCCAGAACCUAGACUCUCCAGUCUUUGAACCCAAAGGUGCCGGAUGCCAGCCUUGCCUGCCUUGAGGGUAGUAGUUGUCAAGUGCUUCACAGUCAUUUCCCAGGAGCAUUGCUGGCACAGUCAGGCAUUUCAUUUAGAUGAAUCCAAACCAGGGGAGCAGAUUUUUGAGCAGUAUUGGAUGUGGGGAUAUAUAAUGUGACUGGUUUUCUAGAAGGUAACCUCAUUACCCUGGUUCCUGAUGGGCACUGCUGAAAAUACAGAACCAUCUGGAGGACUGAUGGAUAGAAGCAAUUCAAGGAAGAAUAAGGAUGAUGUCUUUUAGAAAUGCUAUAGGAAUAUUUGUUUGGGGGUCAAUAAAUAACAUGCUUAGAGUUUAAUAAAUAUUUUGUUAUGUCAUCAUAGUUUCUACAUUUUUGUAUUCUAGUAGAAUUUUAUCUAGUUUUAAUAUUUGUUUUUUGAGCAGACAUCUUUAUCUUGAGAGAUAUCAUUUAGAGUUACUUUUUCAAAAUUUGCAGCUGUGUAAAUCCAGAUGCUUGGUGAAGCUGCUGUGGUGUGAGGAAAGCCUCUCCCGUUAGGCCAGGAGCCUGUAGGGCAACAUCAGCACAUAUGAAACCUGCUGUGUAUUAUAAGCAACAGGAAAUAGCACAGAAGCUGCAAGUGCAUUUAGGUCAUUUGGAAGUUGAAUUCUUGUCAUAUCUUCACUUUGCUUAACAUAUCUUCUCCCCUUUAGUUCUUUCUUAUAGUAAUUUGAAGCUGAUGAAUUCAUUGGUAUUUUCAGGAGAGCAUAUACAAUUAAAAUAUUUUUAAAUUCAGUAUCAGUUCAAAGAACUUAGCAUCACUUGCCUCUCACCUUUGGUGGGAAGGUAAUGAGCAGACACUUAGCUCUGUGUGCACAAGGACGAUGGUCCUGAGUCUCCUGGGAUGGCUAGCUAAAUCUGGAAGUUCCUUAGGAGAUGGAAAGACAUCAGCUCCUCAUGUUCCAUUCAAAGUGAGCACAGGGCGCUCAGUGAACAUGCAUUAGGUUAAUGAGUGUCCUCUGCAGGGACUGGUCUCCUAUUCCCUUUCCAGACCUCAAAGCUGAAUUGUCUGUCCUUCUCUCUGCUCCAGUAGCCUCAGCUAUUGAGUACUAUUGCCCCUGAGAUGCUUCUUGUUCAUACUACUGGGAUCUUGCCUCCAAAGUUUACUUGGAAGAAUAGGAGGAAACUGUUGCUUUAAACUGCACAUAAAACAAAAGGAAGUGGCUUUGCCUUUCCCUAAAGACAUGGAGAAAGAGAAGUCCGUUCCGUGGUCGUGGCCAUGCUAUGGAACAAAUUCUUGGCCACUCCACACCAUCCUUGCUUCUUAUAUGUUUUGUGCAUCAGUGAAUUUUUUAGCCCAAGCAUUUUCACCUAUGGGAGGCGUGUAGAAACGGAGGCACAGAAAUGCUAGCUCCUUGCCAUUUCAUGGGGUCCUUGGGUCUCUGCCUGCUGCCCCGCCAACUUUCCCCACAAACCUCUGGAAUUUCAGCAGUGCCCUCUACUGUGGGCCUGUGGAGCCAGACUAAGUUAGACUUCCCCUGACUCAAACUUGGAAGUGAUACCCCAUGAGGCUUGUUGAUUUCUGUUUCUUAGAAACCAGAUACUGAUGUGGAUCCCCUGAGAGAGGAGGGAGUAAAGGCUUUGGGCACAGGAUGCUGUGGUGUUUGAAAUCCCCUGUAGUGUCCCCAUCAUACAAUCAGAAGAGACACUGGGGCAAUUUGAUUUCUCACAGGAGUUAAAAUUCUAUGGCAAAGGGGAGGCUAUCUCUGAAAAUAACCCUCCAGGGGUGCAGAGUGGGGACCAUGGCCAAGAGAGGAGGUGACUUUCCCUCUGUCACUGUGGGACUCAGGUCAUGGUAAAGUUGGAUGUCAUCCUUUGUCCCUUACCUUCCUAUGUCAUGUACUCUGUAUGUUUGUGCAUUAGAGAUGCAUGACAACCUCUAAAUCCGAUGUUAGAAUGACCCCCGGGGAACAUGUUGAGAAGCUAUGGAGGCCCUGCAAGGCACAAUGACUUCUUCAGGGCCAUACACAUACCCACAAGAAGGGGAAGGGUCUCAGCCAAGCUCUGUCUCCCCAAACCAAGGGAGCUGGCUACACCCGGGCCUGUCUGAGGGCCUGAUCCAGGGUUUGUUGGUGUAACUAGGUCCACCUGUGCCUAUGUCAUGGGAAGACUGCAGCCCGGUGGGCCAUCGGAACCAUCUUGUGUGAGAAAGGGACUCAGGAAAGGACUUCCUGGGACAGUGACCUCACUUCCUUGGCCAUGGAACUCACAGAACUUGGAACCCUGGUAGCUAGGCACCCACAGUCCACAAACAGUCCCAGUCUGCUCACUGGUGUUGAGACAGCAGGCCCAGAGCCAUGAGUUUUUGUUGCCUACAGAUCUGUGGGUGCUUAAGCCUCAGGGCUUUUCCUGAGUGUGGAGGUGCUGGGUCAGCGCUGUGUCCCCACGACUCUGGCAAUUUUUCCCAAGGAGACCAGAAGUGAGACAGGACAGGGCACCACAGGUUUAAAUAGUUUAACCCACAUUCAGAUUCCCCUUUCAAAAGUGCCAGAUCUCACCAGGUUUGUGAGUGUGUGUGUGUGUGUGUGUGUGUGUGUGUGUGUGUGUGUGUGUGUGUGAGAUGGAGGGAAAAUAUUUUGUUUUGACUGUAUGGCAGUGAUUCCUUUUGCAAAUGGCUACCGUUUUCCUGUUGAACUGUCCCUCGUUGAUUGUCCAUCCUGGGGAGAAGAUGACCAAGGUUCAUCAGUGGAUGUCCUGUCUUGUGGAAACCCUCAGCACUUCUCUGGGAGCGUGAGGAAGGCCUGGUGCCUGCCCUGCAGCAGGGGAACAUCCCCUAUGUCCAUGGGGUUUUGUAUUUGUACUAAGAUUUGGCCAGUACCCAGAAGGCUCUGGAGCUGCUGUGUAAAAGAUGUGUAUCACCUCCAAGCCCUGGCCCAUGGCCAUCUCCUGGCCUGGUGUUGGGAAUGCUGGGCAUCACUCUGGACCUCCGUCAGCUCUGUGGAAAGUAGGGCUUUUCAGAGGAGAACUCUGCCUGGGUGUUUAGAAAUCCAAGUAGGAUGAGCCCUAGGAGUGUUUGCCUCAGAGGGGUCCUGGGACACAGGCUGGCGAUGGCUCUGGCCUUCCCCUGGGGGCCUGUCCCCUCCCUGAGAGGAAGUUCUCUGCCUCAGACCUCACUCUUCUGAGGCCUCAGGAAAAGCAGUUUCCAUAUUUGGGAAGGAGUCUGUGGGUUGCAUCUGGAAGGGUUCCAACCUGCAUGUAGACGGAACAGGGACCCCUGGGGUCAAUUGAGAGGGUCCUGUCCUGAGGUAGCCAGGCAGCAGGUGGUUGGGUUCAUUCAUGGCUCAAAUAUAUAUGAAGCACCUACCUUUGGAAGGCACUUGGCCUAUCAUUUAGGAAUCAGUGCAGACAAACUCUCCCAGCCCUCCUGAGCUCCCCUUAUUGUCAGGAAGUUAGUUAAGUCCACCAGGCAUCUCGACAGAUGAAGGACACAGGAUAUUAGAGGUCACGGCCUCCUGGCCUUCUCUAGGUAUGGACGCCUCCAGGCAGAUGUUGAGGAGGAGUACCUUCAAGGCAAGAAAUCAUGUCUCACCUUCUUCUUAUUCCCUAAGAAACAAGAUUGAAGUUAGACCAGAUAAUAACUCUGUAAUGGACUGAACAGUUGAAAUAAAAGGAAGAGUCCCAUGUUUUGCAUUCCAAAUAGAAAGCUGUGCCUUGGGCUGGCUGUAGCUCAGUGGCAGAGUGCUUGCCUAGAAUGUAUGAGGCACUGAGUUCAAUCCCUAGAACUACAAAACAAACAAACCAAAAAAAAAAAAAA
Non-coding RNA from Ictidomys tridecemlineatus (thirteen-lined ground squirrel), 6707 nucleotides. NCBI's taxonomy places the organism in Eukaryota, Metazoa, Chordata, Mammalia, Rodentia, Sciuridae. The record is from RefSeq and is a predicted model, not a curated record.